This is a long non-coding RNA of Puntigrus tetrazona (Sumatra barb), 888 nucleotides long. RefSeq lists it as uncharacterized. The record is from RefSeq and is a predicted model, not a curated record. NCBI's taxonomy places the organism in Eukaryota, Metazoa, Chordata, Actinopteri, Cypriniformes, Cyprinidae. The transcript has 3 exons.
GACACCAUUCAUGGUCAGGUCCUGGGAGAGCUUGUUCCUGACUUUGUUAAAGCUUGCUUUAAUUAUGUAAAAAAAGUUUAGGACUGAACGUUACAUUUAUUCAGUUUUAACCGCUGCAUCGAUCAUGAAUAAUUAUUUUUGUUAUAGCUUAAAUUAACUUGGUAUAUUUAGUGUUUGAGAUGUGCAGAGAUUCAUUUGAAUGCUAGAUAUUCUUAAGAAUCCUUGUAGUGGAGAUCAUUUUGGUGUUUUGCUGUGGUUCUAUAGAUUAUUUGGAAGAUGUGAUUGUCAUUUUGACAUCAAUAGUGGUCAAUAAUGCUCCUUGCCUUUUUCUAACGGAGCAGCGUACAAAGGUCCCGCCUGACCAGCAGUGCUGAUUAACAAAAAUAAUAAGUGCUCAUGUCAGCUCCCUCACAUUUAAGUACUAGAACGUAAUAAAACGCCUUCACAAAUGGCACAGUGCCAGCACUUUAUUAGUUUAAUGGCUUUCCCUGGUUCAGUCUCUGAAUGGCCUCAUUUAAAAGGACGUGCCAAGCAGGCAAGGUUUUUGUGACUUAUCUGUUUUGGCUUCUUUUAUUGUCUGGAGCAGCAUAUUUGAAGAAGUAGCUGUUCUCUUCAUACCGUACCUGUGGUUUUCUCUGCACAUCUCACUCUUCCUGGAGCCUCUCACGCCGUCAUGAUGCUAUUUCUGCAGUGCUAUACGCUUCAUGAGCAUCACAUCCACUUACCGUUUCACACCGUUGUUUGGGGUUUCGUCACCUGGAAAAGAAAAAAGACCCUCACAGUUGACAGAAAUUACAUGCGUCACAACUCAUUUGUUCAUUGUGACAAAUCUCCGGGGUCAUGUGGUUGUGUAUGAGUGUAGGCUGUUUUUGAUUUCAAUUUGAUUUA